UCGUUGCUUCCAUAUCAUCCUAGCAUCAAUAUCAUCCUAGCAUCAAGAUUAAAACUUAGUCUAGCGUAACACAAGUCGAAAAUGAAGGGAAAAAGGUAAAUAGGUACUUACAAUAGCUUUCUAAACUGUUUCACUAAAUCUUUUUCUUGAUGUAAUGCAUCUCCUUCAAAAAAAACAAUUGCACUUGGUUAUAUUUUUCUUGUCGCUGAAAAGAUAUCAAAUAUAUUUAGUGAGCAUGUAGAUCAAAACAUAAGCUAUAGGUUGGUUUAGAAAUAAUUGGGAAAACUUAUAAGACAUAUAAAAAACUCAAUAAAUAUCAUAUAAUAUUUUAGAGAUGCUAACUAAAGAUCACCGUGUGGGCCAGGGUUGUGCAAACAACAAACUGGACCUACCUAGGGGACCAUAUCAAGCAUGCUUAUGAAGUAAAUGCUGAUGCCAUAUACACUAACUUAUGCAGACACUGGAAAAAGUGCAAGUACACAUUAUUACCUGAGUUUUUUAUUUCAAAACAUCUUGCCCCACCACAAGCGACCUAACUCGUUAGUCCAUUAUUAGCCCAUCCAUGUCAACCUGAUUAAAAUUCUCAAAAUCAGAAUCAUAUAUACAUUUUAGUUCCAUGUGGCAUGUAUACAGCUUGAUUGUUCCUUACAAACUGGGGAAUAACACAUUUUGGAUGCCAUUGUCCAUAGAAAAAUAAAUGUGAAAUUCUGAAAACCAAUUGGAAGGAAACAAGCACAUAUACAAAUUGAAAGGCAUGGACAGAGAUAGCUCCAGAAAACUGUAUUCACCAAAAGUUAAAUCAACAGAUACAAUUCAAAUACCCCAGCUGGCCAGCUUAAUAUGCGAUGAAAACCAUACUACAAAAUUACAGAAACAAAUGUAAGAGACAACUUAAAAGACGCUAACCAACAAUAAUUACAUGUAAGCAGAUAGCAUUAGAGCAUCUUUUGUCCAUGAAACUAACGCUGACAUUAAUAACUACAUUCAGCAGUCUGAUUGCAAAGACACAUUUGGAAUAAAAGGAAUAAGAAACGUGGACUAAUGCAUCAUCCGUUGACACUGAUCGUUGGAGAUAACGUGAAGCGAGAGUAAACGGAGCCAAAGAAACGGGGGAGGAGGUUCUGAAACAGAGACAUACAGAGGAUGCUUCGUCGUUCCCCUUGAACCGAGCAACAUAUGUUUAGCGGCCAGCACACCAUUCUUGCCGAAGAAGCAUGCACAUCUUGUCAAGUCCGCUAAAAGCCUAACAUUCGUUGACUUCGAACGAAAGAAAAACUGCUGUGAUUGUUCCACUCGCACCGCACGCUGCAAAAAACAAAAAAAAAGUUCAACACCACGUGGGUACGUACAUCUUGACGGUUCUGGUUGACCCAACUACCUCCUCCGUGCGUGCGUGACUGACUGGCGACCGCCACGGAGGCAGCGUCUAGGGAUUCCGAAGGCCAACAAGUCAGAGCAACCAAGCACACACGCUGACAUCUUUUUUUUGUAUUUAUUUUGAGAACGAGAAUGGUAGGCGGACACCUCGGUUGGUUAUCCUCGGGCAAAGAUCAGCUCACAGACUCCAGCUGGGACGCAAAUGACACAUAGUACCUCGACGACAUCAACUUGCGGAUGAUGAUUCUGAAUUUCUGAUGAACCGCGUGAGUGUCUCCAGGCGUGGUGUGCACACCAAGCACGCACCGUGGUUUCUUCGCAGGCACGGUGCUGUAGACGACCCCGACGGGGCCCUUGACGAGCUGCAGCGCCGCCACCGCCUCGGGGACCAUCACGAACUUGCCCUUGUCGUCGCAGUACACAAGGCGGAGCGGCCGCGCCGCCGUCCCCCGCUCAUGGCGCGGUCGGUGCAGGCGAGGGAAGGGAAGAGAGAGGUGAGGGGAGAGAUAAGAUGGAAGGGAGACAUAGAGGCCGGCGGCGGCUGGGAGAAAAG
Molecule: long non-coding RNA, 1930 nt
Filed under: Zea mays
Lineage: Eukaryota; Viridiplantae; Streptophyta; Magnoliopsida; Poales; Poaceae
Description: long non-coding RNA (ZMAY_LNC003712)
Source: RNAcentral